UUUGAUGCAGCUCCUUUGCUAACCGACUCAGUCCAGUAUAUGACUGAGAAACCACUGUAAUUCCAUUUCUUUUCUCAUUCUGCAAAUUCUACACACCAAAAGCAGACGCCCAUCCAAACACAAAUCAUCCACAGCAAUAAACCACAUCAGUUCACAGCAAAGAAGGUUAAGCUGUGAUGCAGAUGGAUGUCAGCAGAGCAAAGCUUUUGAUAUAUAAGUACCCAAUUAGGCUCAGGAUUCCAUGUCUUCAUACAUGUAAUCCACUUAAGCUAUUCCGCUGCAACGCUUAGUGCGUUUUACUUUAUUGAUGUGUUGCAAAGAUUUCAAACUAAUAGCUUACAGAAUUAUGUCACUUGAUACUUAGACAACUUGUCGUUAUGUAUUGUGAGUUGUCUGCUUUUGAGUUUUAGAAAAGAUUGUUUAUGAUUACCAAAUAUUUUGGUAAAUUAUUGUUUAAGCAGGUUAGUGAUUUUUAUUGAGAUCUA
This is a long non-coding RNA of Salvia miltiorrhiza (redroot sage), 485 nucleotides long. RefSeq lists it as uncharacterized. The record is from RefSeq and is a predicted model, not a curated record. NCBI's taxonomy places the organism in Eukaryota, Viridiplantae, Streptophyta, Magnoliopsida, Lamiales, Lamiaceae. The transcript has 2 exons.